AGCGAACGCUGGCGGCGUACUUAACACAUGCAAGUCGAACGGGGAUCGUCGGUGUAGCAAUACAUCGGCGGUCCUAGUGGCGCACGGGUGAGUAACACGUGGGUAACCUGUCCUUGAGUUCGGGAUACCCUCUCGAAAGGGAGGCUAAUACCGGAUACGUUCCCCGGAUUGCGAAGUCUGGGGAGGGAAAGGUAGGCGCAAGCUGCCGCUCUUGGAGGGGCGUCGCGGCCUAUCAGC
RNAcentral lists this ribosomal RNA (237 nucleotides) under uncultured bacterium. RNAcentral's name for it is "partial 16S ribosomal RNA". It matches the Rfam family "Bacterial small subunit ribosomal RNA", at positions 29 to 245 of the family's 1533-position model. The record is from RNAcentral.